Molecule: non-coding RNA, 121 nt
Filed under: Sterolibacterium denitrificans
Lineage: Bacteria; Pseudomonadati; Pseudomonadota; Betaproteobacteria; Nitrosomonadales; Sterolibacteriaceae
Description: Glycine
Rfam family: Glycine riboswitch aptamer
About the family: This family represents the bacterial glycine riboswitch. Glycine riboswitches usually consist of two metabolite-binding aptamers domains with similar structures in tandem. The aptamers cooperatively bind glycine to regulate the expression of downstream genes.
Source: RNAcentral
CAAAUCUGGAGAGCGAUGGGCUGGAUCCAUCCACCGAAGGGGCACCCGGCCGGGAUGAGGCAGCGAAGACAGCGCUCAUCCGCACCGCAAUCUCUCAGGUACCAAGGACAGAUGGGGCGAA